CGGGGGGGGCAAGCGUUGUUCGGAUUUACUGGGCGUAAAGGGCGCGUAGGCGGCGCGACAAGUCACUUGUGAAAUCUCUGGGCUCAACCCAGAACGGUCAAGUGAUACUGUCGUGCUAGAGUGCGGAAGGGGCAACUGGAAUUCUUGGUGUAGCGGUGAAAUGCGUAGAUAUCAAGAGGAACACCUGCGGCGAAGGCGGGUUGCUGGGCCGACACUGACGCUGAGGCGCGAAAGCUAGGGGAGCGAACGGGAUUAGAUACCCCGGUAGUCCUAGCCUUAAACGAUGAAUGCUUGGUGUCCGGAGUUAGAUAGUCUCCGGGUGCCGUCGCUAACGCUUUAAGCAUUCCGCCUGGGGAGUACGGUCGCAAGACUG
This 373-nucleotide ribosomal RNA is filed under the name uncultured organism. RNAcentral describes it as "bacterial SSU rRNA". It matches the Rfam family "Bacterial small subunit ribosomal RNA", at positions 526 to 896 of the family's 1533-position model. The record is from RNAcentral.